CCUACGGGUGGCAGCAGUGGGGAAUAUUUGGCAAUGGGCGCAAACCUGACCCAGCAACGCCGCGUGAAGGAAGCAGGCUUUCGGGUUGUAAACUUCUUUUAAGAGGGAAGAGCAGAAGACGGUACCUCUUGAAUAAGCCACGGCUAACUACGUUCCAGCAGCCGCGGUAAUACUUAGGUGGCAAGCGUUUGCCGUAUUUACUGGGUGUAAAGGGCGUGUAGCCGGGCUGACAAGUCAGAUGUGAAAUCCGGGGGCUCAACCCCCGAACUGCAUUUGAAACUGGUGGUCUUGAGUAUCGGAGAGGCAGGCGGAAUUCCUAGUGUAGCGGUGAAAUGCGUAGAUAUUAGGAGGAACACCAGUGGCGAAGGCGGCCUGCUGGACGACAACUGACGGUGAGGCGCGAAAGCGUGGGGAGCAAACAGGAUUAGAUACCCCAGUAGUC
RNAcentral lists this ribosomal RNA (442 nucleotides) under uncultured bacterium. RNAcentral describes it as "partial 16S ribosomal RNA". It matches the Rfam family "Bacterial small subunit ribosomal RNA", at positions 338 to 795 of the family's 1533-position model. The record is from RNAcentral.